CCAGACUCCUACGGGAGGCAGCAGUGGGGGAUAUUGCACAAUGGGGGGAACCCUGAUGCAGCGACGCCGCGUGGGUGAAGGAGCGCUUCGGCGCGUAAAGCCCUAUCGGCAGGGAAGAAGGAGGACGGUACCUGACUAAGAAGCCCCGGCUAACUACGUGCCAGCAGCCGCGGUAAUACGUAGGGGGCGAGCGUUAUCCGGAUUUACUGGGUGUAAAGGGAGCGUAGACGGUUAAUCAAGUCUGAAGUGAAAGCCCGCGGCUCAACUGCGGAACGGCUUUGGAAACUGAGUAACUGGAGUGCUGGAGGGGCAGGCGGAAUUCCUGGUGUAGCGGUGAAAUGCGUAGAUAUCAGGAGGAACACCGGUGGCGAAGGCGGCCUGCUGGACAGUAACUGACGUUGAGGCUCGAAAGCGUGGGGAGCAAACAGGAUUAGAUACCCUAGUA
RNAcentral lists this ribosomal RNA (445 nucleotides) under uncultured bacterium. RNAcentral's name for it is "partial 16S ribosomal RNA". It matches the Rfam family "Bacterial small subunit ribosomal RNA", at positions 331 to 792 of the family's 1533-position model. The record is from RNAcentral.